RNAcentral lists this ribosomal RNA (333 nucleotides) under uncultured bacterium. Its description in RNAcentral is "bacterial SSU rRNA". It matches the Rfam family "Bacterial small subunit ribosomal RNA", at positions 29 to 346 of the family's 1533-position model. The record is from RNAcentral.
AACGAACGCUGGCGGCGUGCCUAACACAUGCAAGUCGAACGAGAAAGGGGCUUCGGCCCUGAGUAAAGUGGCGCACGGGUGAGUAACACGUAGGUAACCUGCCUCUAAGAUCGGGAUAACCCGUCGAAAGACGAGCUAAUACCGGAUAAGACCACAGUCUCCUCGGAGAUCGGGGCCAAAGGUAGCCUCUACUUGUAAGCUAUCACUUAGAGAUGGGCCUGCGUACCAUUAGCUAGUUGGGGGGUAAUGGCCUACCAAGGCAAAGAUGGUUAGCUGGUCUGAGAGGAUGAUCAGCCACACUGGAACUGAGACACGGUCCAGACCCCUACGGGA